AAGUCGUAACAAGGUUUCCGUAGGUGAACCUGCGGAAGGAUCAUUAACACGUAUCCAACGUUAAAACCCCCCGUGAACUUUCAGCUUGCUCCUGUAGCCCGUGAAACAGCAAUCCCUGGUAAAUCAUUGUUGACCAGCUUUUGAGUCAGGGACCUCUGCCGAUUGUGAUAUAUUAUAGCUACGGUUGAGCGAUUGCAUCUAGUGAUGUUCGGUUUUUGGUGCCGUGCGAAUUUCACGCGCGGCCAAUUCGUACUGUGUUGUCGUAAAGGGGCAGAGCCCGGUGACCCGGUCGCCGGCCGUGUGGGCCUACAGCGAUCGUGACUGCGCCAUCCUUACAUAAUCAAUGACACUUUCAGCCACUGAUUACUUGGGUAUGCCAGGUCAAUAGAUAUCUUGGUUCUC
This 402-nucleotide unclassified non-coding RNA is filed under the name fungal sp. RNAcentral's name for it is "partial internal transcribed spacer region". The stretch from base 1 to 46 matches the Rfam family "Eukaryotic small subunit ribosomal RNA", at positions 1786 to 1831 of the family's 1831-position model. The record is from RNAcentral. Lineage: Eukaryota; Fungi.